GGACGAACGCUGGCGGCGUGCUUAACACAUGCAAGUCGAACGGGAGUAUUGAAGAAGCUUGCUUUAGAGAUACUUUAGUGGCGGACGGGUGAGUAACGCGUGAGGAGCUGUCCAAUGCAGGGGGACAACAGUUGGAAACGACUGCUAAUACCCCAUAAGCCGAGAGGUAAAAGGAUUUAUCCGGCAAUGGAGGUACUCGCGUCCUAUCAGCUAGUAGGUGAGGUAACGGCUCACCUAGGCGAAGACGGGUAGCCGGCCUGAGAGGGCGAACGGCCACACUGGAACUGAGACACGGACCAGACUCCUACGGGAGGCAGCAGUGAGGAAUAUUGGUCAAUGGGCGAGAGCCUGAACCAGCCAAGUCGCGUGAAGGAAGAAGGUUCUAUGGAUUGUAAACUUCUUUUGCAGGGGAAUAAAGGACGGUACGUGUACUGUUUUGUAUGUACCUUGCGAAUAAGGAUCGGCUAACUCCGUGCCAGCAGCCGCGGUAAUACGGAGGAUCCGAGCGUUAUCCGGAUUUAUUGGGUUUAAAGGGUGCGUAGGUGGAUUGUUAAGUCAGUGGUGAAAGUUUUCAGCUCAACUGAAAAAUUGCCGUUGAAACUGUCGAUCUUGAGUGCAAAUGAGGUAGGCGGAAUGUGUUGUGUAGCGGUGAAAUGCUUAGAUAUAACACAGAACUCCGAUUGCGAAGGCAGCUUACUGGGAUGCAACUGACACUGAUGCACGAAAGCGUGGGUAUCAAACAGGAUUAGAUACCCUGGUAGUCCACGCAGUAAACGAUGAAUACUAGCUGUAUGCGAUACACCGUAUGUGGCACAGCGAAAGCGUUAAGUAUUCCACCUGGGGAGUACGUUCGCAAGAAUGAAACUCAAAGGAAUUGACGGGGGCCCGCACAAGCGGAGGAACAUGUGGUUUAAUUCGAUGAUACGCGAGGAACCUUACCCGGGCUUGAAAUGCAGACGACCGACAGGGAAACUUGUCUUCCAGCAAUGGUGUCUGUGUAGGUGCUGCAUGGUUGUCGUCAGCUCGUGCCGUGAGGUGUCGGCUUAAGUGCCAUAACGAGCGCAACCCUUGCCAUUAGUUGCUAACAGGUUAAGCUGAGAACUCUAAUGGGACUGCCAUCGUAAGAUGCGAGGAAGGUGGGGAUGACGUCAAAUCAGCACGGCCCUUACGUCCGGGGCGACACACGUGUUACAAUGGGUGGUACAGAGGGUUGCUACCUGGUGACAGGAUGCUAAUCUCUUAAAUCCACUCUCAGUUCGGAUCGAAGUCUGCAACUCGACUUCGUGAAGCUGGAUUCGCUAGUAAUCGCGCAUCAGCCAUGGCGCGGUGAAUACGUUCCCGGGCCU
This 1346-nucleotide ribosomal RNA is filed under the name uncultured bacterium. RNAcentral describes it as "bacterial SSU rRNA". It matches the Rfam family "Bacterial small subunit ribosomal RNA", at positions 27 to 1381 of the family's 1533-position model. The record is from RNAcentral.